UACGAAGGGGGCUAGCGUUGCUCGGAAUUACUGGGCGUAAAGCGCACGUAGGCGGUCUUUUAAGUCAGGGGUGAAAUCCUGGAGCUCAACUCCAGAACUGCCUUUGAUACUGAGAAGCUUGAGUCCGGGAGAGGUGAGUGGAACUGCGAGUGUAGAGGUGAAAUUCGUAGAUAUUCGCAAGAACACCAGUGGCGAAGGCGGCUCACUGGCCCGGUACUGACGCUGAGGUGCGAAAGCGUGGGGAGCAAACAGG
This 253-nucleotide ribosomal RNA is filed under the name uncultured bacterium. RNAcentral's name for it is "partial 16S ribosomal RNA". It matches the Rfam family "Bacterial small subunit ribosomal RNA", at positions 524 to 776 of the family's 1533-position model. The record is from RNAcentral.